UUACCCGAAGUUUUUAAAAUAUUGACAUUGGAAGUCAAAGUGCGGGAUAGUCUAAGUUCUUGCGGGUAAA
Molecule: transfer RNA, 70 nt
Filed under: Dendropoma corrodens (ringed wormsnail)
Lineage: Eukaryota; Metazoa; Mollusca; Gastropoda; Littorinimorpha; Vermetidae
Description: tRNA-Pro
Source: RNAcentral